RNAcentral lists this ribosomal RNA (932 nucleotides) under Trametes gibbosa. RNAcentral's name for it is "LSU rRNA". It matches the Rfam family "Eukaryotic large subunit ribosomal RNA", at positions 44 to 963 of the family's 3401-position model. The record is from RNAcentral. Lineage: Eukaryota; Fungi; Basidiomycota; Agaricomycetes; Polyporales; Polyporaceae.
CAAUAAGCGGAGGAAAAGAAACUAACAAGGAUUCCCCUAGUAACUGCGAGUGAAGCGGGAAAAGCUCAAAUUUAAAAUCUGGCGGUCUUUGGCCGUCCGAGUUGUAGUCUGGAGAAGUGCUUUCCGCGCUGGACCGUGUACAAGUCUCUUGGAACAGAGCGUCAUAGAGGGUGAGAAUCCCGUCUUUGACACGGACUACCAGUGCUUUGUGAUGCGCUCUCAAAGAGUCGAGUUGUUUGGGAAUGCAGCUCAAAAUGGGUGGUGAAUUCCAUCUAAAGCUAAAUAUUGGCGAGAGACCGAUAGCGAACAAGUACCGUGAGGGAAAGAUGAAAAGCACUUUGGAAAGAGAGUUAAACAGUACGUGAAAUUGCUGAAAGGGAAACGCUUGAAGUCAGUCGCGUUGUCCGGAACUCAGCCUUGCUUCGGCUUGGUGCAUUUUCCGGGCGACGGGCCAGCAUCGAUUUUGACCGUCGGAAAAGGGCUGAGGGAAUGUGGCACCUUCGGGUGUGUUAUAGCCUUCAGUCGCAUACGGCGGUUGGGAUCGAGGAACGCAGCACGCCUUAUGGCUGGGGUUCGCCCACAUUCGUGCUUAGGAUGCUGGCAUAAUGGCUUUAAACGACCCGUCUUGAAACACGGACCAAGGAGUCUAACAUGCCUGCGAGUGUUUGGGUGGAAAACCCGAGCGCGUAAUGAAAGUGAAAGUUGAGACCUCUGUCGUGGAGGGCAUCGACGCCCGGACCUGACGUUCUCUGACGGAUCCGCGGUAGAGCAUGUAUGUUGGGACCCGAAAGAUGGUGAACUAUGCCUGAAUAGGGUGAAGCCAGAGGAAACUCUGGUGGAGGCUCGUAGCGAUUCUGACGUGCAAAUCGAUCGUCAAAUUUGGGUAUAGGGGCGAAAGACUAAUCGAACCAUCUAGUAGCUGGUUCCUGCGA